Molecule: ribosomal RNA, 310 nt
Filed under: Baillonius bailloni
Lineage: Eukaryota; Metazoa; Chordata; Aves; Piciformes; Ramphastidae
Description: partial 12S ribosomal RNA
Source: RNAcentral
CUUGGGAACUACGAGCCCAAAGGCUUAAAACCUUAAGGACUUGCCCGGUGUCCCAAAACCCCUUAGAGGAGCUUGUUCUAUAAUCGAUAACCCACGUUACACCCAACCCCUCCUUGCCCCAGCAGCCUACAUACCGCCGUCGCCAGCCCACCUCACAUGAGAGCGCAAUAGUGAGCACAAUAAUUCUCCCCAUUAAUAAGACAGGUCAAGGUAUAGCCCAUGGAGGGGAAGAAAUGGGCUACAUUUUCUAACNUAGACCAUACGCGAAAGGGGGCCUGAAAUAGGCCCCCGGAAGAAGGAUUUAGCAGUA